AGUAUCAUUUGGUUUGUAGAGCAUAUUGUUAGUCAAAAUGAAAAUAAUUGCUCUAUUGACGUUUCUCUGUGUCUUAAUAGCCAUAGUAAAUUCCUACCCGGGUCGUAUUGAAGAUAAUGAGGAUGAUUUACAUGAUUCGGUGGAUCUUGAUGGGCUAGUGGAAAAAAAUAAAUUACCAGAAAGAGUUGUUAGAAGUCUUUGUGAUCCUUAUUUCUGCAGUUUAAAUUGCCUAAGGAAAAGAAAAAACUUUGUAAGCUGUAAUGGAUCUAAAUGCAUCUGCGAAGGUUCAAUACAUUGAGCGAUAUCCCUUGUUGAAUGUAUUUGAAAAAUAAUUUUCAUGUUCUUUUUGUGUGUUAUAUUUUUUUUGAGUAAAGAUUCAUUUCGUGUU
Leptinotarsa decemlineata (Colorado potato beetle) is the source of this 388-nucleotide long non-coding RNA. The record is from RefSeq and is a predicted model, not a curated record. Lineage: Eukaryota; Metazoa; Arthropoda; Insecta; Coleoptera; Chrysomelidae.